Molecule: ribosomal RNA, 1592 nt
Organism: Lupinus angustifolius (narrow-leaved blue lupine)
Lineage: Eukaryota; Viridiplantae; Streptophyta; Magnoliopsida; Fabales; Fabaceae
Rfam family: Eukaryotic small subunit ribosomal RNA
Source: Rfam
UACCUGGUUGAUCCUGCCAGUAGUUGUAUGCUUGUCUCAAAGAUGAAGCCAUGCAUGUGUAAGUAUGAACUAAUUCAGACUAUGAAACUACGAAUGGCUCAUUAAAUCAGUUAUAGUUUGUUUGAUGGUAUCUACUACUCGGAUAAUCGUACUAAUUCUAGAGCUAAUAUGUGCAACAAACCCCGACAUCUAGAAGGGAUGCAUUUACUAGAUAAAAGGUGGGCGCAGGCUUUGCCUAUUGCUUUGAUGAUUCAUGAUAACUCGCUUAAUCGCACGCCCUUUCUACCGGCAACGCAUCAUUCAAAUUUAUGCCCUAUCAACUUUCGAUGGUAGGAUAGUGGCCUACCAUGGUGGUGAUGGGUGACGGAGAAUUCGGUUUUGAUUCCAUAUAGGGAGCCUAAGAAACGGCUACCACAUCCAAGGAAGAUAGCAGGUGCGCAAAUUACCCAAUCCUGACACGGGGAGGUAGUGACAAUAAAUAACAACACCGAGCUCAUUGAGUCUGGUAAUUAGAACGAGUACAAUCUAAAUCCCUUAACGAUGAUCCAUUAGAGGCAAGGUUGGUGCCAGCAACCGCGGUAAUUCCAGCUCCAAUAGCGUAUAUUUAAGUUGUUAUAGUUAAAAAUCUCGUAGUUGGACCUUGGGUUAGGUCGACCAGUCCGCCAUUGGUGUGCACCAGUCGGCUCAUCCCUUCUGUCGGUGAUGCGCUCCUGGCCUUAACUCGCGGGGUCGUGCCUCCGGCACUGUUACUUUGAAGAAAUUAGAGUGUUCAAAGCAAGCCUACGCUCUAGAUACAUUAGCAUGUGAUAACACCACAAGAUUCUGAUCCUAUUGUGUCGACCUUCGGGAUCGGAGUAAUGAUUAACAGGGACAAUCAGGGGCAUUCAUAUUUCAUAGUCAGAGGUGAAGUAUGGUCACAACGCUGAAACUUAAAGGGCACCACUACGAGUGGAGCCUGCGGCUUAAUUUGACUCAAUAUGGGGAAACUUACCAGGUCCAGACAUAGUAAGGAUUGACAAGCUUAGAGCUCCUUCUUGAUUCUAUUGGUGGUGGUGCAUUGCCGUUCUUAGUUGGUGGAGCGUUUUGUCUAGUUAAUUUCGUUAACGAACGAGAUCUCAGCCUGCUAACUAGCUAUGUGGAGGUAACUUUCCACGACCAGCUUCUUAGAGGGACUAUGGCCACAUACGCCACGAAAGUUUAAGGCAAUAACAAGUUUGUGAUGCCCUUAGAUGUCCUGGGCUGCACGUGCGCUACACUAAUGUAUUCAACGAGUCUAGCCUUGGCCGACAGGCCUAGGUAAUCUUUGAAAUUUCAUCGUGAUGGGGAUAAAUCAUUGCAAUUGUUAGUCUUCAACGAGGAAUUCCUAGAAAGCGCGAGUCAUCAGCUCGCGUUGACUAUGUUCCUGCCCUUUGUACACACCGCUCAUCACUCCUACCGAUUGAAUGGUCUGGUGAAGUGUUCGGAUUGCAACGACGUGGGCGGUUCAUUGUCGGCAACGUUGUGAGAAGUCCACUGAACCUUAUCAUUUAGAGGAAGCAAAAUAAAAUUAUCUGGAAAACUUUGAUUGUCGGGCUUUAGAGUAUGAAUCAUCU